RNAcentral lists this unclassified non-coding RNA (255 nucleotides) under plant metagenome. RNAcentral describes it as "partial contains small subunit ribosomal RNA, internal transcribed spacer 1, and 5.8S ribosomal RNA". The record is from RNAcentral.
UCUCCGUAGGUGAACCUGCGGAGGGAUCAUUCACAUGAUUACUUUCAAAAAACAAACUGUGAACUUUAUAAAUACUAUUCGUGUUGUGUUUGAUCUUAAUCGAUUUUCAUAACAUUGUCAUUCGUUGAACAUAAGAUAGUUGGCUUGUUUUGAUUAAUUUCAUUACUUUCUCAGCUUUGAUUUGAUAUUACUAAACAUUUUAUCUAUCAGCCAUAAACAUAGAAACAACUCUACGCCCUGGAUAUCUUGGUUCUC